Molecule: long non-coding RNA, 2737 nt
Organism: Haliotis rufescens (red abalone)
Lineage: Eukaryota; Metazoa; Mollusca; Gastropoda; Lepetellida; Haliotidae
Exons: 2
Source: RefSeq, a predicted model, not a curated record
UAUCAGUCAGCUAUUUCGUACUUGUGUUUUGUUGAACAGAAUGCUUACUGGCAAUUCUUAAUUCAGACGAUCUGACUACGUUUUCUACUAGAGUUGUCGGUUAACCGCGACACGCCCACUGUUGUGGGGUACCUGUAUAUAAGGAGGUACCGACCGGGGACAACUUCAUGUUCGAGGUAGGCGACUUUGACCACUCGCUUGGUCCGGCCUUACCUCGUUACGGAACCAAGUCUUCUUGCUCUUGGAUGAUUGUUUCCUGUUUGAUAUCAGGACAGAAGAAAAAUCAAAGAUGAUGACCUGACUGCUGUUUUAACACUGACGAGCCUCGGCUACGUCCUCUGCUACUACUCACGUCGAUGACCAUGACCACAUCGACUACACACAACGACUUCGUUAACGACCAACGACAAUGAAUUACGACUGCGACAUAAGCAACCCAUCUUCAGCCACGACGGUCCACGCUAACUCCUCUCACCAAUUAGAAGAAUGAUUCCCAAAUCAUAAUUCAAUGGCCACAGGUCACUGUUCACAAGUCACCGGUCACAACUCACAGCUGUCAAGCCACAGGUCACAAUUGAAGACCCCCUGACCUGUCGAAUCACAUGACCUCGUCUUUCGGAAGAUAACGGACAAUGAAAGAUUUUUCAUUUGUAUCUGGGAAACGAUUCUGUAAUCAGUCAUGGCUUCAUUUCAAUCUAUUUCAUUUAUAAAUUAUCAUUUUGUUUGUGAUAUUUCUUUUACGUUUCCCCCUGAAACGAAAUGCUUCAUAUACAAAUUUCGAAAUGUAUGUAUAUUAAUUUUAUCAUUAUAUUUACCUAAUGUCAAGAAGACCAUACGAAUUAUCUGUAUCUAUGUACUAGUAUAUAUGCGUACUUUAUUGUGCAUAUUUUCCGAGUGUGUCACGCUUGACAGUCUGAAGACAAUUGACAAAUAAACAUUCGUCAACCGGAUGAAUAUUGCAUAUGUGAAAUUAAUUCUCCGUACGUAUGUUUAAUGGAAGACAACAGUUCACUAUCACAUAGAUGAAACAGUAAUUGUUCUUGUUAUCUAUGUCAUAGCAAUCUAUGUUCUGACCUCAUCAAUGUAAUACCCCGUCUUCUUCUUGUGUUACUAAACGAAAGAAGCUCUCGUAAAAUCCCUGUUUAGACAUUGAAAUGCCCCAUUUACCAUUGACCUGUUCCUUGAGGCUUGUACAGUCACAGACAAAGUGUAAUCUAUAAAACCCUUAGGUACACAAUACAGUUCUCUCAUCUUAAAUACUCUUUGGUGGAAUAGAGCUGGCUAGACGUGUAAUUUUAAAAUCUAAAUUGGUUUUGGUUUCAUACACUACAUAUAUAGUCCAAGGUCACGGUGCCGAGCUAGUCCCUACUCCCAAUCCAGAAAAUGAUUAUUAUACGUGACAUUAUUCUGGACGAAAUGGAUACUACAUUAGUCAAAUAUUAAGUUAGAUCAAUAUUGAGCAGAAGAACUUCGAACAUGUUUGUUCUUUCACUUUAGCCCGUCCUCAAUUUCUUCUAACUGACGCCAUCAGUUAGACUAACAUAUAGUCUCUGAAAUGAACAUAUCGUACAGAAAAAAAACAGUUGUUCAGUUAUCUUAAUAAAAAUAUAAUAAAAAGGGAGCCCAGUGAUUCUGUUCAUUUUCAUACUUAUUUUGAUACUGCAGUAAUCUAGACUUGCCAAACAUUACAGACUUGCAUGGGCUGUAGUUGAUAUAUUUGUAUCAGGGUCUGUAAGACAGACUUGCCAUCAGUGUCCAGACGUUUCCGACAUUGAAUACUCAACAACACAAACAACUCUGAACACGCAUGUUUAUUUCAUUAGAGCUGAUACUUAACUUCAACCUGAAGAUGUUUCCACAUAGAAAGUAGAAAGCUCCGUCAUUGUAUGUGCACAUCUAGCUGCGGUUACCAUAUCACUGUGGAUACGGCAGCUCUGUGUAGGGGGCCCGUGGAGAUCCGGGGUAGAAUAGGUCUUCAGCAAAUCAUGCUUGUCGUAAAAGGCGACAAUGACUGACGGGAUCGGGUGGUCAGGCUCGCUGACUUGGUUGAUAUAUGCCAUCAAUCCCAAUUGCGUGGAUCGAUGCUCAUGAUAUUAAUCACUGGAUUGUCUGGCCCAGACUCGAUUAUUUACACACCGCCGUCAUAUAGCUGGAAUAUUGCUGAGUGCGGCGUUAAACAACAAACCAACCAACUGUGUCGCGACAAGUCAAUAUCAAAUCGUUCAUAGGGAGCAGAGAUACGGUUGGCGCAGCCGGUACACACCAUACAUUUGAUCUGUGCGCGAGUGUUUUACUACGAUAGAUCAUUUUUUACUGUAUGCUUCUAUAUUUUAUCUGGCGGCCGCCAGAUACUUCCACGGGUGGGAUAAAUAUAGAGGUUUACAGGGGGAAAUGAUCUCACCAGUGGCGGGCAUGGACCACCGUUCAUUACAGUGUAGCUUCCUAAAUACAAACUGAUAGCCCAUUGAACUGUAUCAAAACUACAUCCAACCAGAGGUCGGGUGUUUGUCUUCAUCCUUAUCUCAUCUUCUCUGAUUAUUGGGUAUAAAGUCUGAACGAUGUGGUUGUCACAUUCGCGUAGCCUCUGUCGAAGUACCGAGUUGUUUACAUGUUGUUUAUCUGUUGUUUACACGUUGUUUACGUGUUGUGUCGGGUUAACUACGUCUUUAACACCCUGGUUCCAUGUAAACCACCAAUCCACAAAUAAUGUUUUUAUUGAAUAAAUUCUUGGAAAUGC